RNAcentral lists this microRNA precursor (108 nucleotides) under Prunus dulcis (almond). Its description in RNAcentral is "sRNA ncRNA". Lineage: Eukaryota; Viridiplantae; Streptophyta; Magnoliopsida; Rosales; Rosaceae. The record is from RNAcentral.
UCCAUAUGAUGAUGAGCCAGAUCCAGUUGAUGGAUGGUUUGACGAUGACCAGAGAGUCGACAUUGAUCAUCGUCAAACCAUCCAUCAACUGGAUCUGGCUCAUCAUCA